This 254-nucleotide ribosomal RNA is filed under the name uncultured bacterium. Its description in RNAcentral is "partial 16S ribosomal RNA". It matches the Rfam family "Bacterial small subunit ribosomal RNA", at positions 524 to 776 of the family's 1533-position model. The record is from RNAcentral.
UACGUAGGGCGCAAGCGUUAUCCGGAAUUAUUGGGCGUAAAGAGCUCGUAGGCGGUUUGUCGCGUCUGCUGUGAAAAGACCGGGGCUCAACUCCGGUUCUGCAGUGGGUACGGGCAGACUAGAGUGAUGUAGGGGAGACUGGAAUUCCUGGUGUAGCGGUGGAAUGCGCAGAUAUCAGGAGGAACACCAAUGGCGAAGGCAGAUCUCUGGGCCGUAACUGACGCUGAGGAGCGAAAGCAUGGGGAGCGAACAGG